RNAcentral lists this ribosomal RNA (382 nucleotides) under uncultured eukaryote. RNAcentral describes it as "partial 18S ribosomal RNA". It matches the Rfam family "Eukaryotic small subunit ribosomal RNA", at positions 592 to 976 of the family's 1831-position model. The record is from RNAcentral.
UGUAAGCGUAUACCAAAGUUGUUGCAGUUAAAACGCUCGUAGUCGGAAUUUGGCAGUUCCGGAUGUGUGCACGUCGUGUGCGCACUUCGCGGGGAUUGCUUUUGUGGUCUUGCGUAGGAUGAGGCACUUUUAUUAGUGAACGUCCUCACGCAACCACUUUUUACUGUGAGAAAAUCAGAGUGCUCAAAGCAGGCAUUUGCCGUGAAUGUAUUAGCAUGGAAUAAUAGAAUAGGACUCGGUUCUAUUUUGUUGGUUUGUUGGGACUGAGUAAUGAUUAAGAGGGACAGUUGGGGGCAUUUGUAUUUCGGCGCUAGAGGUGAAAUUCUUAGAUUGCCGAAAGACAAACUGCUGCGAAAGCGUCUGCCAAGGAUGUUUUCAUUGG